UACGUAGGGUGCGAGCGUUAAUCGGAAUUACUGGGCGUAAAGCGCGCGCAGGCGGUUCGUUAUGUCCGAUGUGAAAGCCCCGGGCUCAACCUGGGAAUGGCAUUGGAAACUGGCGGACUCGAGUGUGGCAGAGGGGGGUGGAAUUCCGCGUGUAGCAGUGAAAUGCGUAGAGAUGCGGAGGAACACCGAUGGCGAAGGCAGCCCCCUGGGCUAACACUGACGCUCAGGCACGAAAGCGUGGGGAGCAAACAGG
Molecule: ribosomal RNA, 253 nt
Filed under: uncultured bacterium
Lineage: Bacteria
Description: partial 16S ribosomal RNA
Rfam family: Bacterial small subunit ribosomal RNA
Source: RNAcentral